This 465-nucleotide ribosomal RNA is filed under the name uncultured bacterium. RNAcentral's name for it is "partial 16S ribosomal RNA". It matches the Rfam family "Bacterial small subunit ribosomal RNA", at positions 339 to 795 of the family's 1533-position model. The record is from RNAcentral.
CUACGGGGUGCACCAGUGGGGAAUAUUGGACAAUGGGGGAAACCCUGAUCCAGCAAUGCCGCGUGUGUGAAGAAGGCCUGCGGGUUGUAAAGCACUUUCGGUUGGGAGGACUGCUUCUAGCACUAAUAUUGUUGGAAGUUGACGUUACCUUCAGAAGAAGCACCGGCUAACUCCGUGCCAGCAGCCGCGGUAAUGCGGAGGGUGCAAGCGUUAAUCGGAAUUACUGGGCGUAAAGCGCGCGUAGGCGGCUAGAUCAGUCGGGUGUGAAAGCCCCGGGCUUAACCUGGGAACUGCAUCCGAUACCGUCUAGCUUGAGUACAGGAGAGGAGAGUGGAAUUCCACAUGUAGCGGUGAAAUGCGUAGAUAUGUGGAGGAACACCAAUGGCGAAGGCAGCUCUCUGGCCUGAUACUGACGCUGAGGUGCGAAAGCGUGGGGAGCAAACAGGAUUAGAUACCCGGGUAGUC